AUCAGCUAGUUGGUGGGGUAAAAGCCUACCAAGGCGAAGACGGGUAGCCGGCCUGAGAGGGUGAACGGCCACACUGGGACUGAGACACGGCCCAGACUCCUACGGGAGGCAGCAGUGAGGAAUUUUCCGCAAUGGGCGCAAGCCUGACGGAGCGACGCCGCGUGAGGGAUGACGGCCUUCGGGUUGUAAACCUCUUUUAUUAAGGAAAAAGGCAAUCGUGCUAACACCACGGUUGUUUGAUGGUACUUAUUGAAUAAGCCCCGGCUAACUACGUGCCAGCAGCCGCGGUAAUACGUAGGGGGCGAGCGUUGUCCGGAGUUACUGGGCGUAAAGAGCGUGUAGGCGGUUGAAAAAGUCAGGUGUGAAAUUCUUCGGCUCAACCGAGGGACUGCGCCUGAAACUUUUCGACUGGAGUUUGGGAGGGGCAACUGGAAUUCCUGGUGUAACGGUGAAAUGUGUAGAUAUCAGGAGGAACACCCGUGGCGAAGGCGGGUUGCUGGACCAAAACUGACGCUGAGACGCGAAAGCGUGGGUAGCAAACAGGAUUAGAUACCCUGGUAGUCCACGCUGUAAAC
Molecule: ribosomal RNA, 575 nt
Filed under: uncultured bacterium
Lineage: Bacteria
Description: bacterial SSU rRNA
Rfam family: Bacterial small subunit ribosomal RNA
Source: RNAcentral